RNAcentral lists this ribosomal RNA (304 nucleotides) under uncultured bacterium. Its description in RNAcentral is "bacterial SSU rRNA". It matches the Rfam family "Bacterial small subunit ribosomal RNA", at positions 1055 to 1360 of the family's 1533-position model. The record is from RNAcentral.
UCAGCUCGUGUCGUGAGAUGUUGGGUUAAGUCCCGCAACGANNNAACCCCUNAUUGUUAGUUGCUACCAUUAAGUUGAGCACUCUAGCAAGACUGCCUGGGUUAACCAGGAGGAAGGUGGGGACGACGUCAAAUCAUCAUGCCCCUUAUGUGUAGGGCUACACACGUGCUACAAUGGCUGGUACAGAGAGACGCAAGACCGCGAGGUGGAGCAAAUCCCAGAAAACCAGUCCCAGUUCGGAUUGAAGGCUGAAACUCGCCUUCAUGAAGCCGGAGUUGCUAGUAAUCGCGAAUCAGAAUGUCGC